CACGUAACGCUAGGACGGACACUUCAAAAUCCUCCUUUUGGAGUGAACUGGUUUCAUUUUUGAUCAAUAUUAUUUACCAUUGGCUCAGGUACAUGUCGAAACAAAUGCUUUGUAUAUCAUUGGUUUAACAGCCUCAUUUGACUCCUUAUAGAGCUACCACUGGCCAAUCGGAGAAGGUCCGCCCUCUAAAUGCUAGUCUGUGAUUGGGUGGUUGAAUUUCGCCCGCCCUCUCUGUUUUGUAAACACCGCUACCUGAGUCAAUCACUCAGCUCUCAUGAUCAGGAACGCGGUGAAAAUGCCAAAAAGUAAACUUUUGAGGCAGCGAUGAACGGACCUAAAUAUGAAAAGACACAACAUUUAGAGGUUCUGAUGUAAACCUUUUCAACCACCUGAGGCUGAAGAUUGUAGAUUUGAGGCUGCCAUGACAACAAUGCUGUUUCUGCUGGACUGUUAGAUGUGAUUGGAAUCUGCAGUAACUACAACUCACAACACACUAUUAGACUGUGGUAGAACCUCUCAAAAGAUCUUCAGCAGCAGUUUGGGUCCUGUACAGUAUCAGGCUUCUGAAGACUUGAGUUUGGUCUUCACUCCCAGUCACUAUCUGUAAAGAGUUUGGCAUGUUUAGUCUAUGUUUUCUCUAUGUAUUCUGUAAAA
Long non-coding RNA from Trichomycterus rosablanca, 654 nucleotides. RefSeq lists it as uncharacterized. Lineage: Eukaryota; Metazoa; Chordata; Actinopteri; Siluriformes; Trichomycteridae. The record is from RefSeq and is a predicted model, not a curated record. The transcript is spliced from 3 exons.